CCUACGGGAGGCAGCAGUGGGGGAUAUUGGACAAUGGGGGGAACCCUGAUCCAGCGACGCCGCGUGAGUGAAGAAGUAUCUCGGUAUGUGAAGCUCUAUCAGCAGGGAAGAAGAAAUGACGGUACCUGAGUAAGAAGCCCCGGCUAACUACGUGUCAGCAGCCGCGGUAAUACGUAGGGGGCAAGCGUUAUCCGGAAUUACUGGGUGUAAAGGGAGCGUAGACGGCGAUGCAAGUCUGAAGUGAAAGGCGGGGGCCCAACCCCCGGACUGCUUUGGAAACUGUAUGGCUGGAGUGCAGGAGAGGUAAGUGGAAUUCCUAGUGUAGCGGUGAAAUGCGUAGAUAUUAGGAGGAACACCAGUGGCGAAGGCGGCUUACUGGACUGUAACUGACGUUGAGGCUCGAAAGCGUGGGGAGCAAACAGGAUUAGAUACCCCAGUAGUC
This 442-nucleotide ribosomal RNA is filed under the name uncultured bacterium. Its description in RNAcentral is "partial 16S ribosomal RNA". It matches the Rfam family "Bacterial small subunit ribosomal RNA", at positions 338 to 795 of the family's 1533-position model. The record is from RNAcentral.